UAAUCACAAUGGUGGUGCAGUAUUCUAGUCAGAUCUCACCGACUCGGAGGCGGGGGUAAAAUAUCGCCGAAGGGCAUAUCGAUGAAGUUUCUGGUGACGGCUUCUUUUGCCCAAAUUGGGGCUGUUGCUGGGAGUUAAGGACUUUGGGCGGCUUGCAACGGCAUGCAAAUCCCGUACCAAUCUCCGUGGAGACCCAACUCGGUGGAUCGGCGUAACAUCGGUCUACUGACUGGGGUGAAACCUGAUAUGCGGUGUGUAAAAAUGCUGUGUACAGUGUAGCCUGCUUUGAGUGACGUGCAGGGAAUCGGGAACCACGCCUUUUCGUAUGGCCAAUACGCGACGGUGAUUGCUCGAUGAAAUCCACGCUGCAAAAAAAGAUAAGGGCGGGCGGGAUCUGUCAAGGAAAUCUUCUAGACUGUUCAAUCGAGACAGCGUGGGGAUUAUAGUGUGCUCUAAGUGGCGAUUCGGUUUCUCUUUGAGAUGCUUCGAGUGAUAGGAAACUUCUCGGACGGCGACGACGAGUUUCGAUGCAGGGAAAACCUACCGAACCUAUGGCGCAAGGUUUACCCAUGUUGUUGCCACCAUUUUAUCUU
Molecule: small RNA, 593 nt
Filed under: human gut metagenome
Source: RNAcentral